UCGGCACAGUUAAUGGCACUGGAAGAAUUCACGGGGUACUUUUGAUACAACCCGUGAUCUCUUAGUGGCAUCUAUGGUGCGAG
Molecule: microRNA precursor, 83 nt
Filed under: Drosophila erecta
Lineage: Eukaryota; Metazoa; Arthropoda; Insecta; Diptera; Drosophilidae
Description: mir-263 microRNA precursor family
Rfam family: mir-263 microRNA precursor family
Source: Rfam by way of RNAcentral